UCCUAGCUGAGAAAGGGACCGCUGGCUGUGGCCAAGGCAUCAUUAAAAGCCGCCCGCCCUGCGAACGCGGGUUCUCUCAGCGCCGCUGCUGACUCGAAGCGUGACAUUUGCAUCUGAAAACCUGAGAAAACACUCUGAACCUGAAGUCAAAAAAGGAUUCAGAUUCCUGAGCCCACCAAGGGGAGCUGGAUGCUGCUUCAGUUCGUGUAUUACUGCCUGUGGCCUUCAUCAUCUUGACUCCAUUCUACAGGCUCACUGUAAGGCUUGUCCGUGUUGGCUGCCAGGGAGAAAAUAGAAGAACAGCGCUGGUGAAAGGCGCCAGAUGAAUAGUCACAAAUACGUCACGUCCCUUGCAGAUGCAACAUGGGCAGCACAAGCGUCUUCAAACUGCCCCGCUAACGUGCUUCAAUUCUGAAUGAGAAGGACCAGCUUUCUGGGUGAGAAAGGAGUCUGUCUCUAUUCAGUCCCUGACCCCUCCGCUCGAGGCUGCUAAUGAAGGGGCCUCAUUAACACCAAAGGUGAGGUUGGCAUUACAAUGUAGCUGCUGAUCCACAGCAGUCUGAAUUGAUACCUAUCAAUUCAUUUCGCCUGGCUAUAGAGCAGCCGUCAGAUGACAGUACCUUUC
Molecule: long non-coding RNA, 625 nt
Filed under: Struthio camelus australis
Lineage: Eukaryota; Metazoa; Chordata; Aves; Struthioniformes; Struthionidae
Description: lncRNA (ENSSCUG00000005654.1)
Source: RNAcentral